AAUAGAUACCCCGGUAGUCCACGCCGUAAACGAUGAGUGCUAAGUGUUAGGGGGUUUCCGCUCCUUAGUGCUGCAGCUAACGCAUUAAGCACUCCGCCUGGGGAGUACGGCCGCAAGGCUGAAACUCAAAGGAAUUGACGGGGGCCCGCACAAGCGGUGGAGCAUGUGGUUUAAUUCGAAGCAACGCGAAGAACCUUACCAGGUCUUGACAUCUCCUGACCGCCCUGGAGACAGGGUCUUCCCUUCGGGGACAGGAUGACAGGUGGUGCAUGGUUGUCGUCAGCUCGUGUCGUGAGAUGUUGGGUUAAGUCCCGCAACGAGCGCAACCCUUGUCCUUAGUUGCCAGCAUUCAGUUGGGCACUCUAAGGAGACUGCCGGCUAAAAGUCGGAGAAAGGUGGGGAUGACGUCAAAUCAUCAUGCCCCUUAUGACCUGGGCUACACACGUGCUACAAGUGGGCGGUACAGAGGGUCGCGAACCCGCGAGGGGGAGCCAACCUAACCCGAAAACCGCUCUACGUACGGUUGGUACUUGCGAGGCUCGACUAACGUCGUCCG
Molecule: ribosomal RNA, 556 nt
Filed under: uncultured bacterium
Lineage: Bacteria
Description: bacterial SSU rRNA
Rfam family: Bacterial small subunit ribosomal RNA
Source: RNAcentral